RNAcentral lists this long non-coding RNA (704 nucleotides) under Sparus aurata (gilthead seabream). Its description in RNAcentral is "lncRNA (ENSSAUG00010007136.1)". Lineage: Eukaryota; Metazoa; Chordata; Actinopteri; Spariformes; Sparidae. The record is from RNAcentral.
UCUAUAAUUUAGAUAUCUAUAAUAUAGAAAUACUCAUUGAACAGAGGUUAAAGCUUAAACUAACAGCAGUUGUAAUAUCUUUGCAGCGUAAUUCUACCCCAGAACAUUUUAGACUUGAAUUUGCUCAUGACACUGAAUUUAAUUGACAAUGCACAGUCUAAUAAAUAUGAUUCUGAUGCUAAAUUUCUUGAUCUUAUUGUUAUGUUUUGGAGCAGGUGAGGUGGGGUGGCAGAAGCCAGGAUGGUGCAGGAAACACUGUUGGCGAGGAGGUGGAACAACACCAUUACAACACCAUCGCUGCCUGUGAGGAGAACGUUGACGUAGAAGCAGCAUGCAGUCUCUCUGAGGAUGUAAUUCUGCCUUGGGAAGCGCAAGGAGAUGUGGUGAGCCUCCGCUUGAAGAGGCGACUCUUUGAUCAGGUCAUGCUCGUCAGGCGUCUGGAAGAGGAGAAACUGAUCAUUGUGAAGGAGAUGACCCAGCAUUGUCAGUCUCUAAAAAAGGCGUUGAACAAACUGGACAACCUCCAUUCAUAAGACGAAAGAGGACAUCAAGAACCAUACUUCUUCCAGAGAGCUGACCGAAGAGGGAUACAGGGGACUGCACUGCUGUCUUCUGCAAAAGCAGUACAUUCUCCAGCAGAAACUGAGCACUGUCACUACCACCUACACCUACACACUUGACACAGACCCCUCUAUUUUCACGUU